UGGGGAAUUUUGGACAAUGGGCGCAAGCCUGAUCCAGCCAUGCCGCGUGCAGGAUGAAGGCCUUCGGGUUGUAAACUGCUUUUGUACGGAACGAAAAGGUGCCUUCUAAUAAAGGGCGCUCAUGACGGUACCGUAAGAAUAAGCACCGGCUAACUACGUGCCAGCAGCCGCGGUAAUACGUAGGGUGCGAGCGUUAAUCGGAAUUACUGGGCGUAAAGCGUGCGCAGGCGGUUUUGUAAGACAGAGGUGAAAUCCCCGGGCUCAACCUGGGAACUGCCUUUGAGACUGCAAGGCUGGAGUGCGGCAGAGGGGGAUGGAAUUCCGCGUGUAGCAGUGAAAUGCGUAGAUAUGCGGAGGAACACCGAUGGCGAAGGCAAUCCCCUGGGCCUGCACUGACGCUCAUGCACGAAAGCGUGG
RNAcentral lists this ribosomal RNA (417 nucleotides) under uncultured bacterium. Its description in RNAcentral is "bacterial SSU rRNA". It matches the Rfam family "Bacterial small subunit ribosomal RNA", at positions 355 to 764 of the family's 1533-position model. The record is from RNAcentral.